GACGAACGCUGGCGGCGUGCUUAACACAUGCAAGUCGAACGGAAAGGCUUCUUUCGGGGGGUACUCGAGUGGCGAACGGGUGAGUAACACGUGAGUAACCUGCCCUUGACUUUGGGAUAACUUCAGGAAACUGGGGCUAAUACCGGAUAGGAGCUCCUGCUGCAUGGUGGGGGUUGGAAAGUUUCGGCGGUUGGGGAUGGACUCGCGGCUUAUCAGCUUGUUGGUGGGGUAGUGGCUUACCAAGGCUUUGACGGGUAGCCGGCCUGAGAGGGUGACCGGCCACAUUGGGACUGAGAUACGGCCCAGACUCCUACGGGAGGCAGCAGUGGGGAAUAUUGCACAAUGGGCGGAAGCCUGAUGCAGCAACGCCGCGUGCGGGAUGACGGCCUUCGGGUUGUAAACCGCUUUCGCCUGUGACGAAGCGUGAGUGACGGUAAUGGGUAAAGAAGCACCGGCUAACUACGUG
RNAcentral lists this ribosomal RNA (466 nucleotides) under uncultured bacterium. RNAcentral describes it as "partial 16S ribosomal RNA". It matches the Rfam family "Bacterial small subunit ribosomal RNA", at positions 28 to 507 of the family's 1533-position model. The record is from RNAcentral.